This is a long non-coding RNA of Phyllopteryx taeniolatus (common seadragon), 1544 nucleotides long. RefSeq lists it as uncharacterized. NCBI's taxonomy places the organism in Eukaryota, Metazoa, Chordata, Actinopteri, Syngnathiformes, Syngnathidae. The record is from RefSeq and is a predicted model, not a curated record. The transcript has 4 exons.
CCCGGACUGGAGUUUGAUUUUAAUCUGCCUUUAAACGACGGAAAAACACAUAGAAAUGCACUUAUACGGCUCCACGUAAACUGAAUAACUCUAAAGUUAUAAAGUGUCAAGCCAACGAGCUAGAGCAGUUCUUUUUGAAGGUUUUUGAUGCUAAAGCAGCCACUUUGUGUGUGUCUGUUUCAGGGAACGGUUGGUGUACUAUGACCUCCAGACUGCAGUUGGAUCAUGGAGGAGUACAACUGGUUGUUCUGGAGGCCUGCAGGCAACGUGAAGUGGGCCGAUGGUGGACUGUCUAAAUCCUGGAUAGUUGGCCAGUCACCAAGGGGACAUUCGCACCUAAGGUUAUCCAUUUUGGAGAAAAAGUCAUUACAGCCACCUGAAGGGAAACAAGGAGGCUUCGAUUUGGAGGGGCACUGUGGUCCUGACAUGACAAUAUUGUGAGGAGUUCAUCACUUUGGCGUAAGAGGAGUUCAAUUGACGAAAUCCAUUUAGAUGUCUUCUUUUGGGGAAACAAACGAUGCAGACAAGUGCAACAUUACCGUGAGAGCAGUCAGAAUUUUGAUGCCGUAAAGUCAAGGUUCCAGUUCUAUACAAGCGUAAAUCUUUUCUUUUUAGGUAAAUGGCAAAUCAAUUACUUGUCUUCUUUUGGGAAACAAAUGAUGCGGACAAACCGGGGUUCAAUCCCCGGCCCCGCCUGUGUGGAGUUUGCAUGUUCUCCCCGUGCCUGCGUGGGUUUUCUCCGGGCACUCCGGUUUCCUCCCACAUCCCCAAAACAUGCGUGGUAGGUCAAUUGAAGACUCUAAAUUGCCCGUAGGUGUGAAUGUGAGUGCGAAUGGUUGUUUGUUUCUCUGUGCCCUGCGAUUGGCUGGCAACCGGUUCAGGGUGUACCCCGCCUCCUGCCCGAUGAUAGCUGGGUUAGGCUCCAGCACGCCCGCGACCCUUGUGAGGAGAAGCGGCUCGGAAAAUGGAUGGAUGAUGCGGACAAGUGCAACGGUCUGAAUCCUUGUACACUUUGAUAAUGUUUUGUUUGUCAGCCACAACUGUAAACGUCAUAUACACACACACACACACAAUCUCACACACACACACACGCACACCGUGUCUGGGAAAGAGUCGAAUGGCUAGUGCACUUUGCUAAGUGGCACUUCCUUCCUCGACACACUCCAGAUGACGUGUUGAACGGCUGCAUGGCAACCAUCUGGACAGGAUCCAACUGCUGUGAUUGUGUGUGCGUGCAUGUACGCGUGUGUGUGUGUGUGUGUGUGUGUGUGUGUGUGUGUGUGUGUGUCCAGGUCAGGCUUGGUUUAAGAUUGCCGCUGUUGUUUGGGGCGAGUGUGACAGCGGAGCAUUAGUGGCCAUUAAUCGUGAAAUUGUGUACGUUACUGUCAGGUUGUGUGCGUGUGUGUGACCAGUGAAUUCAACUGAAGUCUUGUUAGGAAAUUCCACACGCCAUUAUUAGGUUGUCGUGGUGAUCGGAAGGCAAAGAAAGAUCGAAUGGUUUUGAAUCGCAAAUAAAUCCAAUCAAAACAUGAAAAGACCACAGU